CACGGGGUUGGCGAGCGUUGUCCGGAAUUACUAGGCGUAAAGGGCAGGCAGGCGGAUCCAUAAGUUUAUCGUUUAAGGCGUCGGCUUAACCGGCGUAGGGCGGUAGAUACUGUGGAUCUGGAAUGCGGUUGGGAAGACAGAAUUCCUGGUGUAGCGGUGGAAUGCGCAGAGAUCAGGAGGAAUACCGAAGGCGAAGGCAGUCUUCCAAGCCGUUAUUGACGCUCAACUGCGAAGGUGUGGGUAUCAAACAGGAUUAGAUACCCUGGUAGUCCCUGAGCGGG
This 281-nucleotide ribosomal RNA is filed under the name uncultured prokaryote. RNAcentral describes it as "partial 16S ribosomal RNA". It matches the Rfam family "Bacterial small subunit ribosomal RNA", at positions 524 to 803 of the family's 1533-position model. The record is from RNAcentral.